AUUGAACGCUGGCGGCAGGCCUAACACAUGCAAGUCGAACGGUAACAGGAAGAAGCUUGCUUCUUUGCUGACGAGUGGCGGACGGGUGAGUAAUGUCUGGGAAACUGCCUGAUGGAGGGGGAUAACUACUGGAAACGGUAGCUAAUACCGCAUAACGUCGCAAGACCAAAGAGGGGGACCUUCGGGCCUCUUGCCAUCGGAUGUGCCCAGAUGGGAUUAGCUAGUAGGUGGGGUAACGGCUCACCUAGGCGACGAUCCCUAGCUGGUCUGAGAGGAUGACCAGCCACACUGGAACUGGGACACGGUCCAGACUCCUACGGGAGGCAGCAGUGGGGAAUAUUGCACAAUGGGCGCAAGCCUGAUGCAGACAUGCCGCGUGUAUGAAGAAGGCCUUCGGGUUGUAAAGUACUUUCAGCGGGGAGGAAGGGAGUAAAGUUAAUACCUUUGCUCAUUGACGUUACCCGCAGAAGAAGCACCGGCUAACUCCGUG
Molecule: ribosomal RNA, 490 nt
Filed under: uncultured bacterium
Lineage: Bacteria
Description: partial 16S ribosomal RNA
Rfam family: Bacterial small subunit ribosomal RNA
Source: RNAcentral